GCACGGCUGAAAGUGGUUUACGGCGUUUUAUGAAUAUGCAUCAGUCGAAAUUGAAGAGGAACGCCCGAAUGCGUCCGCAAUUCCAGUUGCAUAUAUUACGCGGCGCACAACGGUAUACCGCGUACACUCGUAACGGUUUGUAACCGAGAAAUUAUGCUCGUAUUGCUCGUUAUAGGCUCGUUAAAUUUUGUCCUCUUUUUUUUUUCUUUUUUUUUUCUUUUUUUUUUUUACGUAUUUCGACCACGUUAAAUUAAUAUGGCAUAUAAAUUAACACUAUCGGUUCACGCAUUGUUCUCAAAAUCUUUGCCGAUUCGUAACAAAUGACUCGCCAUGUAUAUAUUUGUGUUUACAUAAAUAUUAUAUUUUCAAACUUUUACGCGUUUUAUCAAUGGAAUAUUCGUCGAUUGACAACAGCGGUAUCGUUUGAUAUCUGGAACUUAAUUCCACAACGCCAAUUAAUUCGGCGAAUUAUACAAAGUAUUAUUACGUUUUGAAUGUUUCGUUUUAAAAAACGCUCAAUAAUCCAAACAAAAAUGCAGUAUAAAGAUUGUUUAAUAAAUAAAGAUGAUAUACAGAAUUCGUUGGCAGAAAUUU
This is a non-coding RNA of Cinara cedri, 594 nucleotides long. The record is from the annotation of a GenBank genome assembly. NCBI's taxonomy places the organism in Eukaryota, Metazoa, Arthropoda, Insecta, Hemiptera, Aphididae.